Molecule: unclassified non-coding RNA, 196 nt
Filed under: soil metagenome
Description: partial internal transcribed spacer 1
Source: RNAcentral
GCGAGAGCGAGCCGCGCAGACGCUUGUCUGUGGCGGCAAGCGCGCCAUCCUUGUGUUGCGUGUACGUAUGUAUGUAUGUGUGUGCUGUUGCAUGUGCACCUUGUGUGCGCGUGCAGCACGCACAUGCCUAUUACACUCACUCACCCAUCUUACUGUUUAUUCUAAUCAACUGCUCGCACGAGCACAAACUACCGAA